UGAACGCUAGCGACAGGCUUAACACAUGCAAGUCGAGGGGCAGCACAGGUAGCAAUACCGGGUGGCGACCGGCGCACGGGUGAGUAACGCGUAUGCAACUUACCUAUCAGAGGGGGAUAACCCGGCGAAAGUCGGACUAAUACCGCAUGAAGCAGGGGCCCCGCAUGGGGAUAUUUGCUAAAGAUUCAUCGCUGAUAGAUAGGCAUGCGUUCCAUUAGGCAGUUGGCGGGGUAACGGCCCACCAAACCGACGAUGGAUAGGGGUUCUGAGAGGAAGGUCCCCCACAUUGGUACUGAGACACGGACCAAACUCCUACGGGAGGCAGCAGUGAGGAAUAUUGGUCAAUGGCCGAGAGGCUGAACCAGCCAAGUCGCGUGAGGGAUGAAGGUUCUAUGGAUCGUAAACCUCUUUUAUAAGGGAAUAAAGUGCGGGACGUGUCCCGUUUUGUACGUACCUUAUGAAUAAGGAUCGGCUAACUCCGUGCCAGCAGCCGCGGUAAUACGGAGGAUCCGAGCGUUAUCCGGAUUUAUUGGGUUUAAAGGGUGCGUAGGCGGCCUUUUAAGUCAGCGGUGAAAGUCUGUGGCUCAACCAUAGAAUUGCCGUUGAAACUGGGGGGCUUGAGUAUGUUUGAGGCAGGCGGAAUGCGUGGUGUAGCGGUGAAAUGCAUAGAUAUCACGCAGAACCCCGAUUGCGAAGGCAGCCUGCCAAGCCAUUACUGACGCUGAUGCACGAAAGCGUGGGGAUCAAACAGGAUUAGAUACCCUGGUAGUCCACGCAGUAAACGAUGAUCACUAGCUGUUUGCGAUACACUGUAAGCGGCACAGCGAAAGCGUUAAGUGAUCCACCUGGGGAGUACGCCGGCAACGGUGAAACUCAAAGGAAUUGACGGGGGCCCGCACAAGCGGAGGAACAUGUGGUUUAAUUCGAUGAUACGCGAGGAACCUUACCCGGGUUUGAACGCAUUCGGACCGAGGUGGAAACACCUUUUCUAGCAAUAGCCGUUUGCGAGGUGCUGCAUGGUUGUCGUCAGCUCGUGCCGUGAGGUGUCGGCUUAAGUGCCAUAACGAGCGCAACCCUUGCCACUAGUUACUAACAGGUAAAGCUGAGGACUCUGGUGGGACUGCCAGCGUAAGCUGCGAGGAAGGCGGGGAUGACGUCAAAUCAGCACGGCCCUUACAUCCGGGGCGACACACGUGUUACAAUGGCGUGGACAAAGGGAAGCCACCUGGCGACAGGGAGCGAAUCCCCAAACCACGUCUCAGUUCGGAUCGGAGUCUGCAACCCGACUCCGUGAAGCUGGAUUCGCUAGUAAUCGCGCAUCAGCCAUGGCGCGGUGAAUACGUUCCCGGGCCUUGUACACACCGCCCGUCAAGCCAUGGGAGCCGGGGGUACCUGAAGUCCGUAACCGCGAGGAUCGGCCUAGGGUAAAACUGGUGACUGGGGCUAA
Molecule: ribosomal RNA, 1447 nt
Filed under: uncultured organism
Description: SSU rRNA
Rfam family: Bacterial small subunit ribosomal RNA
Source: RNAcentral